AUUGAACGCUGGCGGAAUGCUUUACACAUGCAAGUCGAGCGGCAGCGCGGGGGCAACCCUGGCGGCGAGCGGCGAACGGGUGAGUAACAUAUCGGAACGUACCCCGUCGUGGGGGAUAACACAGCGAAAGCUGUGCUAAUACCGCAUACGACCUGAGGGUGAAAGCGGGGGAUCGCAAGACCUCGCGCGAUGGGAGCGGCCGAUAUCGGAUUAGCUUGUUGGUGAGGUAAAGGCUCACCAAGGCGACGAUCCGUAGCUGGUCUGAGAGGACGACCAGCCACACUGGAACUGAGACACGGUCCAGACUCCUACGGGAGGCAGCAGUGGGGAAUAUUGGACAAUGGGCGCAAGCCUGAUCCAGCAAUGCCGCGUGUGUGAAGAAGGCCUCGGUUGUAAG
RNAcentral lists this ribosomal RNA (397 nucleotides) under uncultured bacterium. RNAcentral describes it as "bacterial SSU rRNA". It matches the Rfam family "Bacterial small subunit ribosomal RNA", at positions 29 to 429 of the family's 1533-position model. The record is from RNAcentral.